CGACGGCGAACACGGAACGGACCGGCUCCGAGAGUGGCAGCGCGAAUCGAUCAAGUGAUAACAAUACGUUGACGCGGUGGACAUUCAUCAGCUACAGAACGAGUGUCACGAGUGGGAUUGUUAGUCAUUUAAUUGAAUAUGACAGACACAGGACAGA
Trachymyrmex cornetzi is the source of this 157-nucleotide long non-coding RNA. RefSeq lists it as uncharacterized. The record is from RefSeq and is a predicted model, not a curated record. The transcript has 3 exons. Lineage: Eukaryota; Metazoa; Arthropoda; Insecta; Hymenoptera; Formicidae.